CACGUAGGCGGAUUGCUAAGUCAGGGGUGAAAUCCCGGGGCUCAACCUCGGAACUGCCUUUGAUACUGACAGUCUUGAGUCCGGAAGAGGUGAGUGGAAUUCCUAGUGUAGAGGUGAAAUUCGUAGAUAUUAGGAAGAACACCAAUGGCGAAGGCAGGUCUCUGGGCCGUCACUGACGCUGAGGAGCGAAAGCGUGGGGAGCGAACA
This 207-nucleotide ribosomal RNA is filed under the name uncultured bacterium. Its description in RNAcentral is "partial 16S ribosomal RNA". It matches the Rfam family "Bacterial small subunit ribosomal RNA", at positions 568 to 774 of the family's 1533-position model. The record is from RNAcentral.